GAUGAACGCUGGCGGCGUGCCUAAUACAUGCAAGUCGAGCGAACAGACGAGGAGCUUGCUCCUCUGGCGUUAGCGGCGGACGGGUGAGUAAUACGUGGAUAACCUACCUAUAAGACUGGGAUAACUUCGGGAAACCGGAGCUAAUACCGGAUAAUAUAUUCAACCGCAUGGUUCAAUAGUGAAAGACGGUUUUGCGUUCUCUUAUAGAUGGAUCCGCGCCGCAUUAGCUAGUUGGUAAGGUAACGGCUUAGCAAGGCAACGAUGCGUAGCCGACCUGGUAGGGGGAUCGGCCACCUUGGAGCUGAGCCACGGACAAUGCUCCUACGGGAGGCACCAGUAGGGAAUGUUCCGCAGUGGGCGAAAGCAUGACGGAGUAACGCCGCGUGAGUGAUGACGGUCUUCGGAUCGUAAAACUCUGUUAUUAGGUAUGAACAAAUGUGUAAGCGGCUGUGCCCGUCUUGACGGUACCUGCACAGAAAGCCACGGCUAACUACGUG
RNAcentral lists this ribosomal RNA (497 nucleotides) under uncultured bacterium. Its description in RNAcentral is "partial 16S ribosomal RNA". It matches the Rfam family "Bacterial small subunit ribosomal RNA", at positions 28 to 507 of the family's 1533-position model. The record is from RNAcentral.